This 497-nucleotide ribosomal RNA is filed under the name uncultured bacterium. RNAcentral describes it as "partial 16S ribosomal RNA". It matches the Rfam family "Bacterial small subunit ribosomal RNA", at positions 28 to 507 of the family's 1533-position model. The record is from RNAcentral.
GAUGAACGCUGGCGGCGUGCCUAAUACAUGCAAGUCGAGCGAACGGACGAGAAGCUUGCUUCUCUGCUGUUAGCGGCGGACGGGUGAGUAACACGUGGAUAACCUACUUAUAAUACUGGGAUAACUUCGGGAAACCGGAGCUACUACCGGAUAAUAUUUUGAACCGCAUGGUUCAUAAGUGAAUGACGGUCUUGCUGUCACUUAUAGAUGUUUUCGCGCUGCAUUAGCUAGUUGGUAAGGUAACGGCUUACCAAGGCAACGAUGCAUAGCCGACCGGAGAGGGUGGUCGGCCACACGGGAACUGAGACACGGUCCAGGCUCCUACGGGAGGCAGCAGUAGGGAAUCUUCCGCAAUGGGCGAAAGCCUGACAGAGCAACGCCGAGUGAGUGAUGAAGGUCUUCGGUUCGUAAAACUCUGUUAUUAGGGAAGAACAGAUGUGGAAGUAACUGUGCACAUCUUGACGGUACCUAAUCAGAAAGCCACGGCUAACUACGUG